Molecule: long non-coding RNA, 884 nt
Organism: Lutzomyia longipalpis
Lineage: Eukaryota; Metazoa; Arthropoda; Insecta; Diptera; Psychodidae
Exons: 4
Source: RefSeq, a predicted model, not a curated record
UUGUGGAAUUUUCCAUCGAAAGUACGCAAAAUAUUUUGUCUUCAAUCAGUGAGAUAUGUGAAAAGUAAAUUUAAUCAAUUUUUAUAGUAGUUUUUAGAGUGAAAAUUGUGGAAAAUCCGAUUGUUAAAAAAAAGGAUAAACAUGACAAGUAAAUCAGACUACAUACAAUAAAUAGGAGAGAUGUAUGGAUCUUAUUCUCAACGAAGCCAUUCAGUCUGUACCUUGUUAGUUUUCCGAAGAUUUCACCGAAUGAGCGCAUAUGACCCAUCUUACACGCUGUAAACCCAUAAUCGAAUUGUGAAAAAUUCGGUUGAAGAAAUAGGAUAAACACGAAAAGGUACUGUAUUAUUUGUAUAAUUUAUAAUCAUUAAUUUACCAAUCUGUUUCCAAUAAAUUUAUCAACUUUUUAUUCAAAACUAAUUCUAUGAUUUUACUACCUUGCAGUUAGUUAAUCAAACGACAAUGAACAAAAGGAACAUGGAUCUUAUUCUCAUUGAAGCCCUUCUAUCAGUACCUGGAUAAAGCAUGCUGAUCACAAAUAUUGAUUAAAAUAGGAUAGAGGAAAUCAAUUCGCGAGAAUUGAAGUUUAAAGAUUUCGUCAACUGACAUAAAAAGCAGGACUUUCUCGAUUCUAUGAAGAGGGGAACUUUGGAGGAAAAUGACGCUGAAUGAUGUGGACACUUCAAAAAAUUGCCCAACUUCACUGGACACAUUCUCUUUUUGUUUUAACAAAACGGGGUAAAAGAGACAUCCAUUUUAUUAAAAAUUGUUUUAUGUUAUCAAAAGUUCAAUUAUUUAUAUCACAAAAUAUGAUUGAUGUAGUUUAAAGGACUGCAUUUUUUUUAACAAAAUGUCUUCUAAAUGUAAAUUAAAAUUUAAGUAUA